Molecule: ribosomal RNA, 59 nt
Filed under: Chloroflexota bacterium
Lineage: Bacteria; Bacillati; Chloroflexota
Description: partial 16S ribosomal RNA
Rfam family: Bacterial small subunit ribosomal RNA
Source: RNAcentral
AAUAAAGAGAGUUUGAUCCUGGCUCAGGGUGAACGCUGGCGGCGCGCUUAAUGCAUGCA